RNAcentral lists this ribosomal RNA (786 nucleotides) under Triticum aestivum (bread wheat). RNAcentral's name for it is "partial small subunit ribosomal RNA". Lineage: Eukaryota; Viridiplantae; Streptophyta; Magnoliopsida; Poales; Poaceae. The record is from RNAcentral.
AUGGUGGUCGAUGCUCUUGCGGCCAUUCUGGACAAGGCUACGGCCGCGGGCCAUAUUAGUGGGAUCACCGCCCACUUGACUGGGGGCGUUGGCAUCUCCCUGCUCCAGUACGCUGACGACACCAUCAUCAUGGUCGAAGGCUCAGAUACGGACAUCGCUAGCCUUAAAUUCCUCCUCGUCUGCUUCCAACAAAUGUCUGGUCUUAAGAUCAACUUCGACAAGAGCGAUGUGAUGGUGAUGGGCUAUUCCCCGGCUGAGGCCCUUGACAUUGCCAACCGCCUCAAUUGCCGCCUGGGUUCCUUCCCAACGACCUACCUGGGAACGCGCAUUAGUGACUCUCGGCUCACUGUGGCGGACCUUCGUCCUGCGGUGACCAAGUUGCAAACGCGCAUUGAGCCUUGGCAAGGUCGGUGGCUCUCGAAGGCGGCCCGGACGAUUCUCAUCAACUCCUCGCUCUCUAGUCUCCUCUUAUUCCUUAUGAGCUUCUACAGCCUCCACGAGACCCUCCAUCACGAGAUCGCUAAAAUCCAAUCGCGCUUCUAUUGGGCUGGGGACAAUAACAAGCAGAACUAUCAUAUGGUUAGUUGGCCCGACAUCUGCAAGCCCCGGGAGCAGGGAGGCCUUGGCAUCAUGUGCUCGAAGCGCAUGAACAUUGCCCUCCUCUCCCGCUGGCUCUGGCGCAUCUCACAAGGGCAUGGCGGUCUGUGGUUAGACAUCAUCCGGAAUAAAUACUUGCGUGGCCAACCUCUGGCCUUCUGCCAACGUUCGGGUGGAUCCCAGUUCUAG